Gorilla gorilla gorilla (western lowland gorilla) is the source of this 559-nucleotide long non-coding RNA. RefSeq lists it as uncharacterized. NCBI's taxonomy places the organism in Eukaryota, Metazoa, Chordata, Mammalia, Primates, Hominidae. The record is from RefSeq and is a predicted model, not a curated record. The transcript is spliced from 3 exons.
UUUCGUGCGGCUGUUUUGAAUGUGCUAACGAGGCACGUUAUUCUUAGCCGCGUCAGGGAGGGGAUCAGAUUCCUGCACAGUUGCGCUGCUGGCGGAAGUGACUUGUUUUCUAACGACCCUCGUGACAGCCAGAGAAUGUCCGUUUCUCGGAGCGCAGCACAGCCUGUCCCAUCGAGAAGCCUCGGGUGGACAUGGACUCCAUGGAAGCCUGAGCCACCAGGGGCUUCCCUGGGGCAGCACUGCUUCGCGUAGGCUCACGAGAAACUCCCAGGGUUCCUGGGAAAUGAAUGAAAAUAAACAAACAAAUUCCUUGCAUUCAACGCAGCGUAAGAAAAAUCACAUCCUGUUCCCCAGUAGCUGAGGAAAGCCGGCUCACGAGAGCAUACAGGGAGAAGAGGCCAGCAUUGUGUGGCUGCCAGCAAAGCUCACUUGUAUGUCAAAUGCAGCGCUUUUCUUAGCCCAUUAUGUAAUGUUUUUUUUUUCUCGAACACUCCUGUGUCUACGGGGAUCUCCUGUUUUUAUUGUUUUGGGAUGAGAUUUAAAAAACACCAUUUAAUGU